GAUGAACGCUGGCGGCGUGCCUAAUACAUGCAAGUCGAGCGAACAGACGAGGAGCUUGCUCCUCUGACGUUAGCGGCGGACGGGUGAGUAACACGUGGAUAACCUACCUAUAAGACUGGGAUAACUUCGGGAAACCGGAGCUAAUACCGGAUAAUAUAUUGAACCGCAUGGUUCAAUAGUGAAAGACGGUUUUGCUGUCACUUAUAGAUGGAUCCGCGCCGCAUUAGCUAGUUGGUAAGGUAACGGCUUACCAAGGCAACGAUGCGUAGCCGACCUGAGAGGGUGAUCGGCCACACUGGAACUGGGACAGGGUCCAGACUCCUACGGGAGGCAGCAGUAGGGAAUCUUCCGCAAUGGGCGAAAGCCGGACGGAGCAACGCCGCGUGAGUGAUGAAGGUCUUCGGAUCGUAAAACUCUGUUAAUAGGGAAAAACAAAUGUGUAAGUAAAUAUGCACGUCUUGACGGUACCUAAUCAGAAAGCCACGGCUAACUACGUG
RNAcentral lists this ribosomal RNA (497 nucleotides) under uncultured bacterium. RNAcentral describes it as "partial 16S ribosomal RNA". It matches the Rfam family "Bacterial small subunit ribosomal RNA", at positions 28 to 507 of the family's 1533-position model. The record is from RNAcentral.